Long non-coding RNA from Bos indicus x Bos taurus (hybrid cattle), 3645 nucleotides. NCBI's taxonomy places the organism in Eukaryota, Metazoa, Chordata, Mammalia, Artiodactyla, Bovidae. The record is from Ensembl.
AUGAAGAACCCAUUUUGUUUUGAAUUCCUGACCCUUUCUCCUGGUCACUCUGCUAAAUUCAAGUCCCGCAGGAAGACAACAAAAGAGUUGGGAGGAGGAGACCAAAGAUGGUUAAACCAGGGGAACAGGAUCUGCGGAUGGUGCAAGAAGAGGGCUGAGGGCCACUCACCGCUCCUCCCCUGCAGUCCACUGCCCGGUAUUCCUGCCUCUCAGCUCGGCGGACGGUCCGGCUUCCACCACCGGGGCUCUUCAGGCAGGCGGCCCGAGGUGCGCCUCCACCCUUGUCCUCUUGCAGACCUCGUCACGCCUUCGUCUUCCCUGCUCAGGCCUCUCCCGCUUGUCCGCUCGCCCUGCCCACCCCCAGAAAACGAACCGCGAGACCAGGACACUUCCGGCUUUAGCGUGAGCCCACCCCUCUCUCCUCUCCAGGUGCUUCAUCUUUAACCAAAGGCCUGGUUUCUAGAGUGGAAAAACCUGCUUGGCCCUGGGUUGCUCUCACCAUGGGCUCACCACUGAGACCCAAGGUGAGGAGGCUGGGGUGCCCCCCACCCCCGCCCCGGGCAGGUUCUGAGGGUGGCUAACAGAUGGGUGGCAGGCUGCAGGGAGCAAGAGCUCAGGAGAGAGUGUCAUCAGGAUCUGCUCUCUCCUGCUAGUUUCUUCCUUCACGCUGGAGCCAAAGUCACAGCUCACCCAGGAGGGCAGCUCCUGCCGGCAGGAUAAAAAUACCCCUCAGUUUGACUACUGAGCCCAUGCGUGGCCAACUCAGCCAUGAAAGGCCAGGAGAGAGCAAACAGGGCGGAAUGGCGCUGACUUCCCUGCUUGCUAACACAUGGACGAGGCGGGAUAAAGCCUUGAUGAUGAGCAUGAAUGUUUCUUUUAUUGUUCAUCAAGCCCUUCGAGGAAUUAUGGGAGCUCCAGACCAUUUUCUCAGGGGGAAAAAAAAAUCCAUAGAGGUGUAUUUUCACACAAAAUUACAGACAAUCUCAGAGGAUAUACAGAACUCUUGAUGCUAAGAGGUCCAUAAUUCCCUGGGCCAGAACAGACACUAUAGCAGAGCAGAAAGGAUUUAGAAGCCAGCCAUUGGAAAUAGCAUUAAGCUGCUGGAAAAGGGUGGAAGCAAUGGUGUUGAUCUCCACCCUGAGAAUCCUUCCGUCUGCACCAGGAAUGCAGCACAGUGGGGGAUACUCUAAAUGUGAGACAGACCCUUGGGCACUACAGCGCAAGACCAGAAAUAGUAAGGAGAUACCUUGGAUCAAAAUCGAUAGAAGAGCUCCCUGGGAAGCAGCUGGAGAAGAAAGCCCUGGAGAGCUGAUAUAUAAUCCAGCCUCCACCGAUGAGGCAUUUCUAAAAUCAACUGCCGCAUCCCUGGCUGUCAGAGGUGGCCUCUGUCAGGUGUUAGAGGUUUCCAGGGCACUUCGGAUCAGCUAGUUCUCUGCCAAGUCAUGCGAUCACCACCCUAAUGCAAAGAGUGAAAGUUGCUCAGUCGUGUCUGACUCUGCAACCCCAUGGACUGUAGCCUGCUAGGCUCCUCUGUCCAUGGAAUUCUCCAGACCAGAAUACUGGAGUGGGUAGCUGCUCCCUUCUCUAGGGGACCUUCCCAACGCAGGUCUCCUGCACUGCAGGCAGACUGUUUACCAGCUGAGCCACCAGGGAAGAUACACUAAUGCCAAAGCCAGCAGUUAUGCAACACUGAGAUUAGUGUUCCCACCAGUGGGUGGGGAGGUCGGGGGGCAGGGUUUGUAGCAGUGGAAGGAGGAGCAUCUCAGUGCCCUUGAACAUACGGGAAGUGCCACCAGAGGGUCAGGCCAUAGGAUCAGACGGGAAAGAAAGAGACGUGAGAGCGCCUGAGGUGGGUCCCAGAAUUCCAUUGAAAACAAUCAUGUUUUUCUCCAAUCAUGUUUUUCACGCUCAACAACUGUGGCUCCUCUUGAGAACUCAAGAGCCAGCAUUUGGGCCUGUUGAGAGCAGCAGAGUCCUCAGGUCAGUCUCUCUUCGAUUACUUAUCAGACGUAAACACAUAUUCUGUAUUAAGGGCAAAGAUUCUAUUUUCAAAGAGGUUCAUUCAAUUGAUUGAAGAAGUUUAACUGAGAGCACUGGAACAGCCCAGGCUGCUCCAUGGUCUAGCCAACAUUCACCCUCUCUCCCACUCUGCCCAGUCUGGUCUGUACCUCUCUGCUCCUGCUGCCUCCCCAUUUCUGAUUACAAGUGUCCCAUCGCUCUCAACACACAGUCACUGUAGAGCAAUGGGAUACUUGUAACCAGAAACAGUUUGCAAUUGCUUCAAUGUAAUGUUGGUAUCUACAGCUUUGCCCAGCUUCAGAACUCAACCCCUAGCAAACACCUUGAAGGAAAAGAAGCCUUGGUCCAGGCGUGAGGCAAGGUGGGCUGUAGUCUUAGUUUUUCACUCAGUUCAGUUCAGUCGCUCAGUCAUGUUCGACUCUUUGCGAUGCCAUGAAUCGCAGCACACCAGGCCUCCCUGUCCAUCAUCAACUCCCAGAGUUCACCCAAACUCAUGUGCAUGGAGUCAGUGAUGCCAUCCAGCCAUCGCAUCCUCUGUCAUCCCCUUCUCCUCCUGCCCCCAAUGCCUCCCAGCAUCAGAGUCUUUUCCAAUGAGUCAACUCUUCACGUGAGGUGGCCAAAGUAUUGGAGUUUCAGCCUCAGCGUUAUUCCUUCCAAAGAACACCCAGGACUGAUCUCCUUCAGAAUGGACUGGUUGGAUCUCCUUGCAGUCCAAGGGACUCUCAAGAGUCUUCUCCAACACCACAGUUCAAAUCAAUUCUUCAGCACUCAGCUUUCUUCACAGUCCAACUCUCACAUCCAUACAUGACCACUGGAAAAACCAUAGCCUUGACUAGAUGGACCUUUAUUGGCAAAGUAAUAUCUUUGCUUUUUAAUCUGGUUUUUAUUUCUGGUUUUCCACUAACAUGUAUGUUUUUCUGUGUCCCUCAGUUCCCUCAGUCUCCACACUUGGAUAUCAGGGGACCGGAUACAAAGAGCUCUGUGAUGCCUUUUGACUUCCCUGUACAGUCAAGGACAGCUGCAAGGUGGAGAUCUUCCAAAGGUCACCAAGAGCACCAAGCCUUCUAGCCCCAGUGCCAGGGGUUGACCUCAAAAGGAACUCCAGUGAGGUUUCUGGAAAACAUUCCAGUUCUUUCACCCAGCUCACACCAUAGCCCUCUGAAAAGGUUACACAGUGUCUCCUCAAAGUCCUGUCAGUGGAAAUUCGAGUGGAUUGUUAUUGCUUUCUUCUUCCAAGGCCCAUUCCCUCCUCCCCUAAUAAUGGAACCCUAGUUUUCCUUUAAGGAAUUGUCCUUUCUCUGUUGCCAGUCCUUGAGGGUUGAGCUCCAGGGACAGGCUCAUGAAAAGCUGGGCAAAAAGCCUAUUUUCCACCUCGGUGGUUGACUGAUGAUGGGAUAAAGGACAAAGGCAGACUCAAAUCAAGACGUUGGCCAGAGAUGCUGGAGGCCUUUGGCUUCUUUAUGGAAUGAAGUCUCACAGAAGAAAUCAGAGCUGGGAGCUGAAGAAGAGACAAUUGUUGAGAACAACAUUUGAGCCCCUAGAUCCAGCCAUGCCUGAAAGCCUAUACGUGGACUUUCAAUUACCUGAGCAAAUAAAUCCAUUCCCACUUUUUUGUUGUUGAAGGGA